GUCGAGAAUCUUUCACAAUGGGGGCAACCCUGAUGGAGCGACGCCGCGUGGAGGAUAAGGUCUUCGGAUUGUAAACUCCUGUCAUGCGUGAACAAGGUUGCUUGGUUAAUACCUGGGCAAAUUGAUGGUAACGCAAGAGGAAGAGACGGCUAACUCUGUGCCAGCAGCCGCGGUAAUACAGAGGUCUCAAGCGUUGUUCGGAAUCACUGGGCGUAAAGGGUGCGUAGGUGGCGUGGUAAGUCAGAUGUGAAAGCCCGGGGCUCAACCUCGGAACUGCAUCCGUUACUGCCAUGCUAGAGUACUGGAGAGGUGACUAGAAUUCUCGGUGUAGCAGUGAAAUGCGUAGAUAUCGAGAGGAAUACCAAAGGCGUAGGCAGGUCACUGGACAGUUACUGACACUGAGGCACGAAGGCCAGGGGAGCGAACGGGAUUAGAAACCCCGGUAGUCC
Molecule: ribosomal RNA, 449 nt
Filed under: uncultured bacterium
Lineage: Bacteria
Description: partial 16S ribosomal RNA
Rfam family: Bacterial small subunit ribosomal RNA
Source: RNAcentral